UCAGGGACGAGUCUUGUCCGUGUUGAAUGAUGAAUUUUGUUGGUGUGGAGCACCUAUGCAGUGGAGUCUCGGGGUCUAUCGGAGGGAUCCUGAUGAUAUGGAGUUGUGGCUCGAUUAGGAUGGAUACUUUCUAUAGAUAUGAGCAGCAUGUUGCUUAGUCAUCUUGGAGUAGAUCAGGAGACCCUUGACUUUUAUCCGGAGUGUA
This 205-nucleotide long non-coding RNA is filed under the name Elaeis guineensis (African oil palm). RNAcentral describes it as "long non-coding RNA (EGUI_LNC048967)". Lineage: Eukaryota; Viridiplantae; Streptophyta; Magnoliopsida; Arecales; Arecaceae. The record is from RNAcentral.